This is a long non-coding RNA of Rhipicephalus sanguineus (brown dog tick), 332 nucleotides long. RefSeq lists it as uncharacterized. The transcript has 3 exons. The record is from RefSeq and is a predicted model, not a curated record. NCBI's taxonomy places the organism in Eukaryota, Metazoa, Arthropoda, Arachnida, Ixodida, Ixodidae.
AGAUGCUAACCUUGUUCUUACCUGAAGUGACUGAAGCCGAUAGCGGCACCUGGGAAUGUACUUACACCGGUCAAGAUCAGUCGUGGACGCUUGCAAAAUUUCUUCUUGAAGUGAAAACGGAGGCAACAGGGUGGACCGCCAUUGUCGUUGCAGCAGCGGUGUUUGUGCAGCUUGUCACAUUCUUCGGCUGCGGCUGGGCUUGGCUUUGCAGGAGAACCCGAGCUGGCGCGCGACGCGAAAUGCUCGCGCUCAGCCGAUGCAGAAAGGAUUAAUCCCUCUGCGAGUCCUCUUCGGCGAGGCCGUGUUUCGAUCCAACGACGGCGCUUGCUUCC